GGAAGUGGUAGCUCAGUGGUUAAGAUGUUGGACUCCUGAUCGGAAAGGUUGAGAGUUCAAAUCCCAGCACUGCCA
Non-coding RNA from Pangasianodon gigas (Mekong giant catfish), 75 nucleotides. The record is from the annotation of a GenBank genome assembly. NCBI's taxonomy places the organism in Eukaryota, Metazoa, Chordata, Actinopteri, Siluriformes, Pangasiidae.